CUCUGCCUCUGCCUCUCUGCAGCCCCCCAGCCUCUAUGCACCAUCACUGUCACAGAGUCAAUUCCCUGGAAUAAUCACAUUUUCUGGCCGGCUCCCUCCUCCUCGCCAACACGAUUCCAGGAAACCCCAAUCAGCCAGGCCCCAGGAGGCUUCUCCAGAGCUUCAGGAGGCUUGGGGGGAAGGGCCCACACCCAGAGCUUUCUGGGGGCCAGACAACACAGUUCCUGGAAGGGGCAGUGAAAGGGUGAAAGAAAAGAGGGAGGUUUAGUGACCAUGUCUACAUUCAGUUGGAACUGAAUUUUGGCCUCUGCUGUCCCUACCAGACCAAUCCCCCAAGCUUUGCUGUCAUACCUGAGAACCCCAGCCAUCCUUAACCCAGUUCCUGAAGAGACAGCACAGAUUCUCCCUUGGAGAGGUUCAGGGAGAAGGCCCAAAGGAAGGGAUCGGUCCAUGGUGCGGCUUACAGUGGCACCAGGCAUAUUUGGAGAGAUUGACUCACGCAGAAAGGCUUCAAUAAACAAGGAGAGUCUGGAAGUGAAGAAUGCGGCAUUAGGAGUUGGACAGACCUUUUUUUCAAUCCUGGAUCUGCCACAUGGCGGCUGUCAUAACGCCGCUGAGCUUUAUCUGUAAAACGGGAACACUUCCACGGGCUGCCGUAAGGAUGAAUUGCAGGGGUAAUUCAUGGAACAUGGUGAUCACUUUUAUUGAAAGUUAUAGGACUCCAUAAAGCAGAACAUAACACAGCCAUUAGAAGAAUAUGGUGUUGGAAACAGUUAUUGGCACGGAGAGGUGUUCAGAUGCUGGGGAUAAGAUGGAAGGAGCCCAGGAGUUAAAUUUUUGAAAAUUUUGAAAAAAGCUACCAGGGUUCUUAGCCUGGAGUCCUUGCCCAUGAAUGGCUUCAUGUAGUUCAUGAAUGCCGAGAAAUUAUCUACAGAAUUUAGUGAGAAUGUUCAUUUUUCUGGGGAAAAGGGUCAAUGUCAUCACAUUUUCAAAGUGAUGUAGUACAUAUAAAAGGUAAAAAACAAGUGAUGUUUAUAUAGCAUGACUCAAUUUUUGCACUAAAAAAAGUAACCAGCUGGGUGUGGUGGCUCACACUUCUAAUCGUAGCACUUUGGGAGACUGAGGCAGGAGGAUCGCUUGAGCCUAGGAGUUGGAGACCAGAUGGGCAACAUGGCGAAAUACCGUCUCUACCCCAAAAAUACAAAAAUUAGCUGGGCGCGGUGGUGCAUCCCAGCUACUUGGGAGGCUGAGGUGAGGAUGGCUUGAGCCUGGGAGGCGGAGGUUGCUGUAAGCUGAGAUAUCUCCACUGCACUC
This 1314-nucleotide long non-coding RNA is filed under the name Homo sapiens (human). RNAcentral describes it as "non-protein coding lnc-PDCD11-5:1". Lineage: Eukaryota; Metazoa; Chordata; Mammalia; Primates; Hominidae. The record is from RNAcentral.